This is a long non-coding RNA of Ursus maritimus (polar bear), 1924 nucleotides long. NCBI's taxonomy places the organism in Eukaryota, Metazoa, Chordata, Mammalia, Carnivora, Ursidae. The record is from Ensembl.
GCACAAGCCGCGCCGGGGGGUAGAAGAUGAGGAGGCUGCGAGGGACCCCGAGUCAGACCUUCGGGGCCACAAGAAAGUGUCCGAGCGCCUCGCAGACUGCAGCAAGGGAAACGUCCCUUAAAAGUGCGACGAGGUGGGGACGAGGUGCAAUUAUUAUUAUCAGCAUCUAGAAAGCAUCAUGCAGGCAGUGACCUCCAUACUGCAUUGUUCUUACUGGAUCUUCCUAUCAAUGAACAUUAUGGAACUACCAAAACAGCAUCAAGUCCUUCUUGGAUGGAAAGUUUUCAAACUUCUUCAUUUGGAGUUACUUAAACAUUAGGAUGUUGGGAUUCUUGAUGAUGCCUUUCCUAUGUGGAUUACUACAAUUUGGUUACUGGGAAUUCUCUACCUCAAAGAAGUACUCUCAGGUGACUACGGAAGCAUUAGCAUCCUGCAUGCUCAGGAUCUGCAUUUGCUGCUCCAGCAGUGUCUAACUGGAUGUCCUCUGCAGAUUGAACAAAUGUGCCGUCUUUUCCAUCAUCUGGUCAACCCCCAGGUCACCACUGAACAUCCUACUCAACCACUUCGAUCCAUGGAUAUCAUUCUCUGUUGUCCAUUCCAUCAAAUGUCCUCAAACCUGGCAGAAAAGGGAAAAGGCUAAUGGCUAGGAACUGAGUGAAGAGAUGGGACGUUGGGCAGAAGGUAGAACAUUCUCAGUCAAAAGAGCAGCCUGUGUGGAGUAUCUGAAGUGAGAAGAACAUGACGAGAAGGCAGAGAUAGCCACAGGAAGAUAAGGAGAGCAAACUGGAGAAGUAGCAGAGCCUGCAGCUGUUCCUGGUUUCUGUGACAUUCUUUGAGGAGUAUCCUUUCACGUCUGGCUCUACCGCAAUGUACAUGAAUAUAUUUGUUUUGCCUCUCUCCCAUCCUGAGUACAGAAGAAGUUCACACUGGCAGUGUACCCUUUUCUCACUUGUGUGGUCAACUACUCCCUCUCAACAGGUUCCUUCCUAUUGACUUUAAAGCUUACGGCGUUCUCAUUUUACAUACAAACAACCCACCCUUCCUCGUGUCCAAAUCCUCCCACAGGUAUUGCUGUCUUUCUUCCUCUUUAUGGCCAGAUUUGUGGAAAUCAUAGCUCUGUCUUCAUGUCCUUCCAUUGCCUCUCUAGCGUAGCUCUUUCUUCAUCCUUUCAUCAAAACAGCUUUUCCUAAGUUUACAAUGACCUUCUCUUGUCAAUCCCAUGGUCGUCUUCUGCUUGGUCAACUUUUUUUUUUUUAAAGAUUUAUUCAUUUUAGAGAAGGUGCGAGUAUGGGGGGGUGGACAGGAGGAGACACAAGGGGAGAAAGAAUCUCCAGCAGACUCCCCACUGAGCAUAGAGCCCAACUUGGGGCUCGAUCUCAUGACCCUGAGAUCGUGACCUAAGCCAAAACUAAGAGUCGGCCCCUUAACUGACUGCACCACCCAGGCACCCCUUAGUCGGCUUUGAAGAGCAUUUUAAGAAGUCCUCAUUUUGCACACUAACUCCUCUUAGCUUCUAGGGUACUUCGUGUCCUCUGUUUCUUCAUAUUAACAUUUUCAGAUUCCUCUGCCAUUAAUCAGUUUUUAAGUAAUUUUACCCUAAAAAUCUCUCUUCUGUUCUACUCCCUACUGUCUCCAACAUUAGUCUCAUCCCCUUCCUUGGCUUAUUAUGAGAGGUAGCUUAUGACAGGAGGCAAGAGUACCUGGGGUUGUUUUCCAGUCGUGUGAUUUAAGCAAAUGGCUUUAACUGUCUAAUGGUUUCAUGAUAUGUUAAAUAAGGAUCAUUAUAAUAUCUGCCUCAUGUAGUUGUUGUAAAGAUAAAUGAGUUCAUUUAUAUAAAGUGCUUAAUAGUAGAUGCCCCUCGAAUGUGUAGCUACAGUUAUAAUAUGUGAAUAAAAGCAAAAUUUAUGUACUCUAGAUACUUAUG